UUUUUUUGUUGUUUUGU
Molecule: small RNA, 17 nt
Filed under: Arabidopsis thaliana (thale cress)
Lineage: Eukaryota; Viridiplantae; Streptophyta; Magnoliopsida; Brassicales; Brassicaceae
Description: ATSL129750
Source: RNAcentral